AAAAAAGUACUGAUUCAAGGACCACCUCGCAAUCUAAAAACUUGAGGUUCGUAAAUGCAGCAGCCAAAAAAGCAGUAGAUCCAGAAGCUACGCAGACUUCAAAGAAAAGAGGUUGGAAGCCUAAUUUUUUGAACAAACCAGAGGAAGGAUACGAUCAUGCUUGGGUAAGUGGAGAAAGGAGGUCAAAAGCCCGUAUUCUCUUGAAGGGUUGUGGGAAAGAUACUAAAAAGAGAAGUAGUUGUUCACCUAAAUGUGCAAUCUCCAAAGGAUUGUAUGGUGAGGAGAAGACUCCAAUAGUGACUUGUAUAAAGAGACACCAAAAGGAGAAAAAUGACAAAUCAAUUUCAGCAAGAGAUGCACCAGGAGCUAUAACCAAGAAGAAAGUCUCACAACCUACAUCGGUUGCUUCAGAAGAAUUUGCUG
Molecule: unclassified non-coding RNA, 423 nt
Filed under: Hevea brasiliensis (rubber tree)
Lineage: Eukaryota; Viridiplantae; Streptophyta; Magnoliopsida; Malpighiales; Euphorbiaceae
Source: RNAcentral